GACGAACGCUGGCGGCGUGCUUAACACAUGCAAGUCGAACGGAAAGGCCCUGCUUUUGUGGGGUGCUCGAGUGGCGAACGGGUGAGUAACACGUGAGUAACCUGCCCUUGACUUUGGGAUAACUUCAGGAAACUGGGGCUAAUACCGGAUAGGAGCUCCUGCUGCAUGGUGGGGGUUGGAAAGUUUCGGCGGUUGGGGAUGGACUGGCGGCUUAUCAGCUUGGUGGUGGGGUAGUGGCUUACCAAGGCUUUGACGGGUAGCCGGCCUGAGAGGGUGACCGGCCACACUGGGACUGAGAUACGGCACAGACUAAUACGGGAGGCAGCAGUGGAGAGUAUUGCACAAUGGGAUGAAGGCUGAUGCAGCAACGCCGCGUGGGGGAUGACGGCCUUCGGGUUGUAAACCGCUUUCGCCUGUGACGAAGCGUGAGUGACGGUAAUGGGUAAAGAAGCACCGGCUAACUACGUG
This 468-nucleotide ribosomal RNA is filed under the name uncultured bacterium. RNAcentral describes it as "partial 16S ribosomal RNA". It matches the Rfam family "Bacterial small subunit ribosomal RNA", at positions 28 to 507 of the family's 1533-position model. The record is from RNAcentral.